This 253-nucleotide ribosomal RNA is filed under the name uncultured bacterium. RNAcentral describes it as "partial 16S ribosomal RNA". It matches the Rfam family "Bacterial small subunit ribosomal RNA", at positions 524 to 776 of the family's 1533-position model. The record is from RNAcentral.
UACGUAGGGGGCAAGCGUUGUUCGGAUUCAUUGGGCGUAAAGGGUGCGUAGGCGGCCCGGUAAGUCGGGUGUGAAAUCUCGGGGCUUAACUCCGAAACUGCAUUCGAUACUGCCGUGCUUGAGGACUGGAGAGGAGACUGGAAUUUACGGUGUAGCGGUGAAAUGCGUAGAUAUCGUAAGGAAGACCAGUGGCGAAGGCGGGUCUCUGGACAGUUCCUGACGCUGAGGCACGAAGGCCAGGGGAGCAAACGGG